UUACGGCCAUAUCACGAUGAAACAUCGUUUCCUGUACGAUCACCGAAGUUAAGCAACACCGUGCCUGGUCAGCACCUAGAUUUAUGAUUGCUUGGUAAUACCAGGUGCUGUAAG
Molecule: non-coding RNA, 114 nt
Organism: Acanthosepion pharaonis
Lineage: Eukaryota; Metazoa; Mollusca; Cephalopoda; Sepiida; Sepiidae
Source: the annotation of a GenBank genome assembly